RNAcentral lists this ribosomal RNA (250 nucleotides) under uncultured archaeon. Its description in RNAcentral is "partial 16S ribosomal RNA". It matches the Rfam family "Archaeal small subunit ribosomal RNA", at positions 474 to 723 of the family's 1478-position model. The record is from RNAcentral.
CACCAGCGCCACGAGUGGGAGCCGCGAUUAUUGGGCCUAAAGCGUCCGUAGCCGAUAUGGUAAAUUUCUUGUGAAAUUGGCCUGCUUAACAGGUCAACGUGCAGGGAACACUGCCAUGUUUGGGACUGGGAGGGGUUAGGAGUAUCUUGAGGGGAGCGGUAAAAUGUUAUAAUCCUCAAGAGACUACCGGUGGCGAAGGCGCCUAACCAGAACAGAUCCGACGGUGAGGGACGAAAGCUAGGGGAGCAAA